This is a long non-coding RNA of Oncorhynchus tshawytscha (Chinook salmon), 1255 nucleotides long. NCBI's taxonomy places the organism in Eukaryota, Metazoa, Chordata, Actinopteri, Salmoniformes, Salmonidae. The record is from Ensembl.
GGAGAACCUCAUUCAGGGCAGGUCCUAUUCUUUCUGAGGGGACAGAGGGUAGAGGAGAACCUCGUUCAGGGCAGGUCCUAUUCUUUCUGAGGGGACUGAGGGUAGAGGAGAACCUCGUUCAGGGCAGGUCCUAGUCUUUCUGAGGGGACUGAGGGUAGAGGAGAACCUCGUUCAGGGCAGGUCCUAGUCUUUCUGAGGGGACUGAGGGUAGAGGAGAACCUCGUUCAGGGCAGGUCCUAGUCUUUCUGAGGGGACUGGGGGUAGAGGAGAACCUCGUUCAGGGCAGGUCCUAUUCUGUCUGAGGGUAGAGGAGAACCUCAUUCAGGGCAGGUCCUAUUCUGUCUGAGGGGACUGGGGGUAGAGGAGAACCUCGUUCAGGGCAGGUCCUAUUCUUUCUGAGGGGACUGGGGUAGAGGAGAACCUCAUUCAGGGCAGGUCCUAUUCUUUCUGAGGGGACAGGGGGUAGAGGAGAACCUCGUUCAGGGCAGGUCCUAGUCUUUCUGAGGGGACUGAGGGUAGAGGAGAACCUCGUUCAGGGCAGGUCCUAGUCUUUCUGAGGGGACUGGGGGUAGAGGAGAACCUCGUUCAGGGCAGGUCCUAUUCUGUCUGAGGGUAGAGGAGAACCUUAUUCAGGGCAGGUCCUAUUCUGUCUGAGGGGACUGGGGGUAGAGGAGAACCUCGUUCAGGGCAGGUCCUAUUCUUUCUGAGGGGACUGGGGGUAGAGGAGAACCUUAUUCAGGGCAGGUCCUAUUCUGUCUGAGGGGACUGGGGGUAGAGGAGAACCUCGUUCAGGGCAGGUCCUAUUCUUUCUGAGGGGACUGGGGGUAGAGGAGAACCUCGUUCAGGGCAGGUCCUAUUCUUUCUGAGGGGACUGGGGGUAGAGGAGAACCUCGUUCAGGGCAGGUCCUAUUCUUUCUGAGGGGACUGGGGGUAGAGGAGAACCUCGUUCAGGGCAGGUCCUAUUCUGUCUGAGGGGACUGGGGGUAGAGAACCUCAUUCAGGGCAGGUCCAAUUCUUUCUGAGGGGACUGAGGGUAGAGGAGAACCUCGUUCAGGGCAGGUCCUAUUCUGUCUGAGGGGACUGGGGGUAGAGGAGAACCUUGUUCAGGGCAGGUCCUAUUCUGUCUGAGGGGACUGAGGGUAGAAGAGAACCUUGUUCAGGGCAGGUCCUAUUCUGUCUGAGGGGACUGGGGGUAGAGGAGAACCUUGUUCAGGGCUUGAGUUCAUAAAGAAUAUCUGAUCUAGUCCGACCUCUU